UCAAUUCUCUCAAUCAAUUGAAAUCAUUCUCCAGGCAAAUUGAUUUCUCUUUACAAACAUCACACAUUUUGCUCUAGCUAUCAUCUUUCACCCACAUUCAAUUUUACAAACCCUAAUUAUCAUAUAGGGUGAUUCUCAUCAAAGUGAUUAUUGGAAGCCCUAAAUUGUAACCAGUGGAAUUGAAUCCAGGUAUGUUUAUACCGUCCAUUGAGAAACCCUAAAAUCUUCAGAAAAGUUUGAAGCUUGAGAGAU
Molecule: long non-coding RNA, 252 nt
Filed under: Helianthus annuus (common sunflower)
Lineage: Eukaryota; Viridiplantae; Streptophyta; Magnoliopsida; Asterales; Asteraceae
Description: sRNA HanXRQr2_Chr14g0621691
Source: RNAcentral